Long non-coding RNA from Mastomys coucha (southern multimammate mouse), 382 nucleotides. RefSeq lists it as uncharacterized. The record is from RefSeq and is a predicted model, not a curated record. The transcript is spliced from 3 exons. NCBI's taxonomy places the organism in Eukaryota, Metazoa, Chordata, Mammalia, Rodentia, Muridae.
CCUAGCCUUCAACUUCUGGGAGCCCUCACAAUAGGGUGUCUCUAACUCCUUUGCCUACUUUUUGGUCCCUUUUCUUCCUAAUGGAUUUCCUUUUCCUGACUUUAUAUGAAGGAUAAUAUGUAACUUUUCCUGGGGAGGUGGGAAUACAUAUGACUUCACUAACAGAUGUGGAACUAAUAACAAUAAGGACAUCAUCAUCAUCAUUAUCAAUGACAACAACAACAACAAGAACAGCAAAAUAAAAUUAUCACAUCCAUGUCUACCUUGAUGAAAUAAAUCAGGUUGUCAUGACUGCCCACUGAAAGACUCAACAAGCAACUGAGUCAGAUGGAGAUAUUUGCACCCAAUCAAUGGAUAGAAGCAGCUGACCUCUGUUGUUGAA